This 765-nucleotide long non-coding RNA is filed under the name Solanum pimpinellifolium. RNAcentral's name for it is "long non-coding RNA (SPIM_LNC000144)". The record is from RNAcentral. Lineage: Eukaryota; Viridiplantae; Streptophyta; Magnoliopsida; Solanales; Solanaceae.
ACCCAUCCUGUCGAUGGAUUAUAAAUAUCAUAUUACUUAUAAGCAAUACUAAUCUAAGGAAUACCACUCAAAGAGAUCAAAGAUUCUUGAUGUUGGAUCAUGGAAUAUUUCUCUUGACAAGAAUUUACCUACAUGAUAAAAUAUGUAUCACAAGCACUAAGGGCUAUAGCUCAGUUGGUAGAGCAACUCGUUUACACGCGCGCCAAUGUUUUUCAAGGGAGUUCAUCAUACAAUCAGCAAAAUUGAUCUUGUUGAGAAAUCGAUGUCUUACUCCAUAACUUUGAGGGAACCAUAGCCUGACAAAGGUUCGGUCCAAUUUGGACGCCCAUUUAGGAGGUGCCAACCAAACCCCAUCAUUGAUUUGAGAUCUUGAUAAGGUGAAUACCCAGUCUAUUCAAUGCUAGGCAUAAUGAGUAUAAGGACCUCAAAAAAAUCUCUUUUCGUCAUAUGAACUUUAAGGUGUAUGAAGUUUCAUAUUUUAUUUUUAAUCAGAACGAUAGAGACUUCAUUUAACUUAGGUUGAUCUAGGCCAGAGACAGACCUACGUCAAGAUAAUCCCGCCUUUGAAACACUUUGGUAAUGCUCCCAAAUAAGGAAUCAGAGCACAUGGAGCCAUUUCCUUAUCUUAUCUUUUUUUCUGUCAAGAAAAAAAUGGCGGACUAACUGAUAUUUAUAUCAGUUAAUGAAGGAGCCCAAUGCAAAAAAAAUGCAUGUUGGGUCUUUGAAACAGUUCAGAUCAUUUUAAUAAUAAUAAGUUUGAUCUGU